This 469-nucleotide ribosomal RNA is filed under the name uncultured bacterium. Its description in RNAcentral is "partial 16S ribosomal RNA". It matches the Rfam family "Bacterial small subunit ribosomal RNA", at positions 355 to 824 of the family's 1533-position model. The record is from RNAcentral.
UGGGGAAUUUUGGACAAUGGGGAAACCCUGAUCCAGCCAUCCCGCGUGUGCGAUGAAGGCCUUCGGGUUGUAAAGCACUUUUGGCAGGAAAGAAACGUCGCGGGUUAAUACCCCGCGAAACUGACGGUACCUGCAGAAUAAGCACCGGCUAACUACGUGCCAGCAGCCGCGGUAAUACGUAGGGUGCAAGCGUUAAUCGGAAUUACUGGGCGUAAAGCGUGCGCAGGCGGUUCGGAAAGAAAGAUGUGAAAUCCCAGAGCUUAACUUUGGAACUGCAUUUUUAACUACCGGGCUAGAGUGUGUCAGAGGGAGGUGGAAUUCCGCGUGUAGCAGUGAAAUGCGUAGAUAUGCGGAGGAACACCGAUGGCGAAGGCACCUGCUGAACNCUGCGCUCAUGCACGAAAGCGUGGGGAGCAAACAGGAUUNGAUACCCUGGUAGUCACGCCCUAAACGAUGUCAACUGGCUGUU